Long non-coding RNA from Oreochromis niloticus (Nile tilapia), 437 nucleotides. RefSeq lists it as uncharacterized. The transcript is spliced from 4 exons. The record is from RefSeq and is a predicted model, not a curated record. NCBI's taxonomy places the organism in Eukaryota, Metazoa, Chordata, Actinopteri, Cichliformes, Cichlidae.
CUGCUGCACUGCAGAGUCCACAUUGUACACUGGAAACUCUCAGAUUGUGGCAUUGUGGUUUGUCAAAGAACAGCUGUGAUUAUCUGGCAGCAGCGCUGAAGUCCAACCCCUCAUAUCCCAGAGUACUCGACCUGAGUAUAGACAACAACAACCUGCCGGAUUCAGGAGUGAAGCAGCUGUGUGUUCUUCUGGAGAAUCCGCGAUGUCAAUUUGAAACUCUGAGACUGAGUCACUGUGACCUGUCAGAGAGAGGCUGUGAAGCUCUGGCCUUAGGUCUCAGCUCUCAGACCUCUAAUCUGAGACAGCUGGACCUGAGUAACAUUAACCUGAAGGAUUCAGGCAUCAAGCUUCUGUCUGAAGGACUGAAGAAUCCACACUGUAAACUGGAAACUCUCAGUCUGUCAGGCUGUCUGAUCACAGAGGAAGGCUGUACUUCU